AUUACCAUGCAGUCGAACGGCAGCGCGGGGCAACCUGGCGGCGAGUGGCGAACGGGUGAGUAAUACAUCGGAACGUGCCCUGUGAUGGGGGAUAACUACGCGAAAGCGUAGCUAAUACCGCAUACGACCCAAGGGUGAAAGUGGGGGAUCGCAAGACCUCACGUCAUAGGAGCGGCCGAUGGCGGAUUAGCUAGUUGGUGAGGUAAAGGCUUACCAAGGCGACGAUCCGUAGCUGGUCUGAGAGGACGACCAGCCACACUGGGACUGAGACACGGCCCAGACUCCUACGGGAGGCAGCAGUGGGGAAUCUUGGACAAUGGGGGCAACCCUGAUCCAGCAAUGCCGCGUGUGGGAUGAAGGCCUUCGGGUUGUAAACCACUUUUGGCGGGGGCGAAAUGUCGAGUGCUAAUACCAUUCGGUGAUGACGGUACCCGCAGAAUAAGCACCGGCUAACUACGUGCCAGCAGCCGGGGUAAU
This 477-nucleotide ribosomal RNA is filed under the name uncultured Thiomonas sp. RNAcentral's name for it is "bacterial SSU rRNA". It matches the Rfam family "Bacterial small subunit ribosomal RNA", at positions 48 to 524 of the family's 1533-position model. The record is from RNAcentral. Lineage: Bacteria; Pseudomonadati; Pseudomonadota; Betaproteobacteria; Burkholderiales.